AGUUAUAUCCCAUCUGUCCUCCAUGACUCUCACAAGCAAAUCAGAAAGUGGUGGGGACAUGCCGAUAGAUGAGGAGGUUCCAGAACCAAGAUACACCCACCCUGGGAAAGAAACAUUCUGUAAGCAGGCACUGUGUGAGGAACUUUAUAUACAUAAUCUUAAUGUUGCCAUUUGAUCAUAAAGAUAAUUCAACUUCACAAUUUGACUCCAGCAGUAUGUUGAUCCUGCUAUAUCCAAGAAUUUAGCAUCAACAAACCAGAACAACUGUCAUCUCCUUGGUAUG
Molecule: long non-coding RNA, 283 nt
Filed under: Homo sapiens (human)
Lineage: Eukaryota; Metazoa; Chordata; Mammalia; Primates; Hominidae
Description: HSALNT0047592
Source: RNAcentral